UGCCGGGAAGGUUUAUCGGGUUAUGCCGGGAAGAUUCAUCGGGUUAUGCCGGGAAGAUUCAUCGGGUUAUGCCGGGAAGAUUCAUCGGGUUAUGCCGGGAGGAUUCAUCGGUGCCGGGAAGAUUCAUCGGGUUAUGCCGGGAGGAUUCAUCGGGUUAUGCCGGGAGGAUUCAUCGGGUUAUGCCGGGAGGAUUCAUCGGGUUAUGCCGGGAAAAUUCAUCGGGUUAUGCCGGGAAGAUUCAUCGGGUUAUGCCGGAAGGUUCAUCGGGUUAUGCCGGGAAGAUUCAUCGGGUUAUGCCGGGAGGAUUCAUCGGGUUAUGCCG
This 322-nucleotide long non-coding RNA is filed under the name Nicotiana tabacum (common tobacco). Its description in RNAcentral is "long non-coding RNA (NTAB_LNC013100)". The record is from RNAcentral. Lineage: Eukaryota; Viridiplantae; Streptophyta; Magnoliopsida; Solanales; Solanaceae.